ACGAACGCUGGCGGCGUGCUUAACACAUGCAAGUCGAACGGAAAGGCCCUGCUUGCAGGGUACUCGAGUGGCGAACGGGUGAGUAACACGUGGGUGAUCUGCCCUGCACUUCGGGAUAAGCCUGGGAAACUGGGUCUAAUACCGGAUAGGAGCCAUUUUUAGUGUGAUGGUUGGAAAGUUUUUUCGGUGUAGGAUGAGCUCGCGGCCUAUCAGCUUGUUGGUGGGGUAAUGGCCUACCAAGGCGGCGACGGGUAGCCGGCCUGAGAGGGUGGACGGCCACAUUGGGACUGAGAUACGGCCCAGACUCCUACGGGAGGCAGCAGUGGGGAAUAUUGCACAAUGGGCGCAAGCCUGAUGCAGCGACGCCGCGUGGGGGAUGAUGGCCUUCGGGUUGUAAACUCCUUUCGCUAGGGACGAAGCUUUUUGUGACGGUACCUAGAUAAGAAGCACCGGCUAACUACGUG
RNAcentral lists this ribosomal RNA (464 nucleotides) under uncultured bacterium. RNAcentral describes it as "partial 16S ribosomal RNA". It matches the Rfam family "Bacterial small subunit ribosomal RNA", at positions 29 to 507 of the family's 1533-position model. The record is from RNAcentral.